Molecule: non-coding RNA, 13507 nt
Organism: Rhopilema esculentum
Lineage: Eukaryota; Metazoa; Cnidaria; Scyphozoa; Rhizostomeae; Rhizostomatidae
Source: RefSeq, a predicted model, not a curated record
AGAGUCAGCGAUGGAAUGAAUCUGAGUUGGACACUCCAAUCUGCAGCUUUUCCAACAGAAGAUACUGUCAUUUCAACAGCCGAAGAGAAAGAACCAACAGUUACACCUCGUAAGCAGUGACAGCUUGUGCGAAGCUUGGUAAAUGAUCAGCUGCCACCAAGCCUAAAUGAAGACCAUGAUGAACCCGUUACCCUUGAAUGUCUUGAAUGCAAAGAGCUGAAACUAAAGCUUAGAAGGUGUCAGAGAAACUUGAGUAAAGCACGGUUGGCCAAGGAAAAAAAGGAACAAUUGCUAAAGGUAAAUUUUCGAAUAUAAGAUGUUGACAUUAGGAUGAUUUUUUAGAGGAAAGCUUGCUCUGUGAUGAGGAAAUGAAUGAAUGAAAUGAAUGAAUGAUUUUGAACUAGAAGAUAAUAAAUGUUAUUUAUCAGAUGAUGAAGAAGUAGAUGCUAAUUAACAGUCAAGAAACAAAAUAAGGUUUGUUCCAUUCAUAAAAAAUUUUUCAAUAUUAUCAAUGAUUAUCAGUGCUAACAGUUUUUCGAAAUUUAGCAUUAAAUCUGGAUGAUAAAAAUUUCUGUAACACUAGCUCAUAGGCCUUCAUCAACAUGUUGGGUCAAUCAUGUAUAUUUUUACCUGAAAGUAUGCCAAAAACUUCUGUGUUUUCCAUGGAACUUAAGACAACUAGGUUCCUGAUUUUAGAUUACCUUUUAAAAGAAUUUUGAUCCAAUGCUUGAGAUAGCAUAUGAAAACCACCUUGGAAUACAUUAUUUACUUUUCAGCGUUGGUAUUGGUGUUACUGACUGACGGAAAAUGAGCCAAAAUUCAUUGUGUUCUAUUCCAUGCUGUUGCAAAUUUUCUCCAUGUUCUGUUUCUAUUGCAAAUCUGAUGGACCAGCAAUUGAAAUGUUCAAAAAUGGAACAAUGGUGACUGUGAUACAAAGCUGUAAAAAGUGUGGACGCUGUUAUAAAUGGCAAAGUUAGCCAUUAAUAUUUAGCAAACAUCCUGCAGGAAAUAUUUUGGUUAGUUGUGGAUAGCUGGUUGCAGGAGCUUCGAUAAGCAAAACCAUAUUGAUUUUCAAGCACAUCGGAAUUUCAAUAUAUAAUAUUCGUACCUACUUCCAUCAUUAAAGAUAAUUUCUUUUCCCUACAAUUUUAAAAAGCUGGCAGGUAUAUCAAGAUAAGCUGUAUGAAGAGGCAAAAUCACAGAAUGAAUUGACUUGGUCAGGAAUUGGUAGAUUUGAUUUGAUCGGGCAUUCAGCCAAGUACUGUGUAUAUUCAAUGUUUUCUCCUUCCAUGAUGAAGAUAGUUCACUUUAAGCCACUUCAUAUUCACUUUCAUUAUGUUUACUGCAAAGCGUCACAAACAAUAACAUUUAAAUAGAGUUAAAUUUUCGGAGAAUUUGAAUAUGUAAAUCUUGUAAAUAUGGUGCCACAAGUACCACUAUUUGUUGAAACUAGUUGGCAAACUCAGUGUUUUUUACGUUAUAUGUAUGUAUAUAAUGGCAGAUCCAACUUGGUUUGUCACAUUGGUUUAUAGUAUGUGCUCAUGCGACUUUUGACCCCAGAAAUUGACUCAAAAUAUUUGUGGCAAUUCUAUGUAAAAACAGAUUUAUAUGAUUCUUAUUAUGAAUUAGUAUGAAUUACUCAUUAGCUAUCAAUACUAUUUAAUGAGCUGUUAAAACUUAUUCAAUAUUUAGCUAUUGCUUACUUGAAAAUAUGAGCUGUAAUAUCGGAUUAUAUUAUAUUUAUGUUCUUCAAACAUGUAUACACAUUAAUAUUACAAUAUUUUACAUAUUUAUGUAUACAUAUUUCAGUCAAACCAAGUACAGCUGGGUUGUAAUGUCCCCAUUCCAGAAUUUACGUCAGACAUACAUGCUGGUAUUCCAAAAUGGCUGAGAGAACAAAAUCCCGAGAUUAUACAUUAUUUUGAUGUAUGGCACUUGGCAAGAAAUUUUGUAAAAAAAGAUACAAUGGAUGGAAAGGAAAAGGCUAGUGAAAAUCUGUUGGAAUGGCUUAAAGCAAUUAGGAAUAAUUUGUACUGGUGCGCAACCUCAACUACUCCUGUUCUUGAAGACAUGAUAAAAGCAAAGUGGCUUUUUCUGAUGCUGCAAAUAAACAUGAUGACCAUCCAGAUUUGCUGUUUCCCAAGUGUGCUCAUGAGAUUUGUAGCGCAGAGAUUGGAUAAAAAGUUGUUUUGGUAAAAAGGCUAUAUUUUUUUGUCAGGUGGCCUAUGUAAGGAUCAUGAAAGUGUGAAUUUCAAUAUUCCAUGUAAGGUUUGGAUUAAAUGCUUGGUAUUUAUAUGAAAUGAAUAUGCAAAGUUUUGUAAUAUGAAUUUCAGCUUUAAAAGUUUUCUUAAAUCAGCAAAAUAUAUGCAUAUAUUCCUGUAUGAAGAAAUUGUGGUCAUAGAUUCAAUGCGAAAUCUUCUUACAAUCUUUCAGGGACUGUGGUUUAUAACAAACUUCUUUCUAUUGUGACCAACCCGCAAUUGGUAAAUACUAUCGGAAAACUUUCAGGGGAUGGGCAAACAGGUUGCAUUGAAGGUUUUCAUUCUACGCUAAACCACUGGCACCCAAAAAUGAUUGGAUUCCUUUAUACUGGGUGGGUUUGCAGGUUAAUAAAUUUUAUAUAAGCUUAUAUUGAAAUAGAAAUACAUUAUGCCCCUCUAUCUUGCUGUUUUCUGCUUUAUUAUGAAGCUGUGAUUUCCAAGAUCUAAACAAGUUUUGUUUGACGCAUUAUGGUUCUUCUAAUUGUGUCUGUGAAAAGUAUAUGCUAAGUGUGAAAAGUAUAUGCUAAAUUGCAGUAUGUGUUGAACUGUUUAGCAAAAAUUUUAAUUAUAUCAAAUUAUUAUUUGAUUUUGCAGAAAAACCUAUUUGUAUAUAUAAAUCUUGUAUAUAUUUAAGAACUAUAGUUGCCAUUCUGUAUUUCAAUGAAAAUAUCAAACAGGAGAGAAUUAAAACCAAAGAUGGAGAGUCUUACUUCCAUGUUGUUUAUCCAAAAUACAAAUUUUGGGAGGAAAUAGUUCACGAGGUAAGUUUUACGCUAUUUACAUGUGUGUUCUCUGGUAACACUGGGUGUCGCAAUACGAUCUUUACCACCCAACCAACUUAUAAUAAUUAGUUGUUUUCACGACAACUUUUCAAAAAAGUCCCAUAUUGAUCUAUGAAAAUUUAUGCUAGAAAAUCAAUCACGCGUUUUAGUCUGGAGUAUCUGGGUACUUCACUCGGCAAUGUUUAGACAAACAAGUUUUGAAGUGACUUCACACAACAAGUCAUCAAAGCCUUGUUCGCUGAAGUCUUUGAUGUUUGUUGAAGUUGAAGGGGAAUCAAAUGCAAUUCAUUUCUGCCUUCCAAGGAUGUCGAAGAUGUAUUAGCAAUGAUAUUCAGUCAGGAAAGACAGAACGUAUAAAGUGUUACAAACAUAUCCCACCCUUUUGCUGAAAUAACUGCUAAAACAUAAACUGGAUGAACUUCUGAACUUUUGAAAUGAUAGAUGAACUUUUCAUUCCUUAUAUACCAAGCAUUUUACAUACAUUGUAUAACAAAACUUAACAAGGAUGCCCACUGACAGCAAGGCAUUUUCUGCUGUUAGACAACUAACUCCAUAUGGCCCUGAUGUUAAAAUAGAAAAGGAGGACUGCAUAAAUCAUGUAUCAAAGAGAAUGGGAUCUGCCUUGAGGAAUCUAGUGGCUGAGUCAAAAGCACAAAAACAGCCAGUUUCUGGAAAAGGAAAAAUUACACAAGAAAAGAUGCUGAAGAUCCAAAUUUAUUAUGGACGGGCGAUAAAAAAUCAUGCUGGGGAUAUUCCACUUCUAAAAAAGCGCAUCGUGGCCAUUUUGCUACAUCUUUCAUUAACAGAUGAUUUGCCUAAACAUGCUCAUUGCCCUCCUGGACCAUGGUAUUUCUGGCAAAGAGCUUUGGCUAUCAUUAAGUUCAAGUUAUGUUAUCAUUCACAGCUUUCACUUCUUACAUUAAGUCACGGUGUGUAUAACAGUGAUAAACAAGUUAUUUGAUUACCAUAACAUUGGGAUAUUCCAUCUUAUUAUCACCUCAUUAAGUCAACAGCAAGCAUUGUUCUCAUAAAGGUUUAGCAGCUGUCAUUCCUGAGCUUCUAAGGGCAUAACGCGUUUAACAUAUUCCAAAUCUUCACCAGAGCAUUUGAAACACCUGGUAAUCACAGAGAACAUGAGACAUUACCAACAGAAGUUGGCAAGAAAUUGGUUCCUAUAUUUAAGCGAUUAUCAGAUGAUAGUCUAUUAAAACAGUGUGUAAGGGACAAAACGUAGAAUCCAAAUGAGUCACUGUAAAACAUUAUUUGGAGACUUUGCCCAAAAACUACCUUUGUUGGAAGAAAAACAUUAGAAACUGCAGUCAUGCUAGCAAUUUGUCAAUUUGCAACCGGGGCAACAUUCAAAGUUGUUCUCUGCCAAGUUCUGAGUCUCUCUCCAGGGUCAACUUUAGAACUGUCAGCAGCAAAAAAACCAAGAAAGGUUAAAAAAGGCAGAAUUAGCUGUAAGAGCAGAAGCAAAAAAGAGAAGAAGGAGCCUGAAAUAUAAAAAAUGACCAGAGCAGAAAAGGACAGUGCAAGAAGGUGAACAAUAUGCUGCUGAAAAAUAUAAUGCAUGAGAAUUUUCAAUUAUGUGGUUAAAAGUAAUAAUUUUUCACAUGGUAUAUAUUUUAUUUCUAAUUGAAUUCUAAGAAAAGUGACAUUUCUCUUGAAGAAAAUUGAAAACCUAUUAAUUCUAGCUUGCAAGCUCUUCAUACAUUAGUUUUAAAACUUUAAUCAGCAUUUUCUAAUAAUAAUGAUUUCGGGAAAAUUGGUAAAGCUUAGUGCAAAGAAAUAUUUCACCCCCUGAAUAUAACAAGACAUGUCUAUAUACCAGAAGAAACCUUAUACUUCAGAGAAUGCACAAAAGGCCUUUUUUUUGCAUUAAAUAUCAAAUUGUUAUAGUAUUGCACUGAGAAGGUGAUGCAUAGCCGAAAAACAAGAAAAUUUGUAAAAUGUGUAACAACAAAGUACAAGAUUACAAAAUUCCAUUUAAAGACCUUUUGUGCACUCCUCAGGGUCCAAGCAACUGUUUGAUGUGUCAUUUUGGAUUGUAUGUUUAACUACAACUAAGAACAGCUUGCACUAGAGCAAUGCAUGUUUUCCCCAAUUCAUUACCGGUUACCAUAGCAACUGCAAGUUAUUUUUAAAAGGGUAAAAAGUUGCCCCAGAAUCCGAAAUUUUAGCAUUGUAUCUUUUAAAACAAAGAACUUAGAAUUUGGACCAGUAGCCUACCAAGGACUGAGAGCAGAACCUUGAUGAAGUCCGACCCUGGUCAUAAACUCAUCCGAGUUACCAACACAGCCCUUUACUGUCCAGUUAUUCAAAAUUCAUUUGAACAAAUUAUCUUUCUGGUAAUUUACACUCUAAAUGCAUAUCUAAAAAUGAAAAUUAUUUUUUUUCCAAAAAUUUCAUUAUAUUCUAUUGUUUUUUAUUGGUUGCCGUAUGGCAACUAUGGACAUCAAAGGUGAAAACACAAAAAAUAUAUGUUUCAUAAAAUUAACAGAAAAUUAUAAGCAUUAUACAUUCAUACAAAAGCAGUAAAUUGGAACUAAAAUCCACUAAAUAGUAUUGUUCUAAAGUGUUAAAUUGACUCUUUUACAAAUUAUAAAAGUCGCAAAAACAGUUUUUAUUAGAAGUGAGACACAAGCACACUACUUUUUUCACAGAAGGCACGCACGACUGUAACCCGUUUUGCAAAGCCUGCAUUUAUUUUGCUUCUCAUAGUAAGGCCAGUGACCCAGCUGGUCAUAUCUUGAAUCAGAUCACAUUUGGAAUGAACUCCUAUUUGGUCUGACAACUGAUGAUUUGGUCAUUGCCUUUCCUGCUUUUCUCAAGGCAAUCUCUGCUUUUUCAGGUACUUUCAUCUGUGACCAAAAUCUUCUGUAAAGUAACCAGCCAUACACUUUUGCAAUGUCAACUGCAUGAAAGAGGAUUACAAGAUACCAUCGUUUGGUUUUUAUCUUGCAUCUAUACAGUGCUAUCAGCAUAUCUACCAGGUCCACACCCCCCAAUGAUGUGUUGUAUGCCUUGACAAUCAUUGGGCAUGUAACAUCUACAUGCGUUUUACUGGAUGAAUUCCAUCUUUUAACAGUAACUGUUUCAUCAACAUUGAGGUAUGUUGACACAAGUGUAACAAACUUGUUGUCAAACAGCGCAAGGCAAACAUCCCAGUAACCUGGUCUUUUUGGAACCCAAAUCUGCCUCUUCCAUCCUUUUCAUCUCUGUUUCACUUUUCAGGGUACAACCAGCAAGACGAUUAUUUCUGAUUGUUGCUGUCGUUAAAAUGCCCCUUUUUUGAGUACCAGGCAAAGAUCUAACGUUGCAAACCAAUUGUCAAAAAAAAUUAUAAAUGCAACCAGUCAACACUUUGUCACAGAGCUUUAGAACAACAUUUUUGCAGAGGUUUUUUCACCUCCCGCACUAGCAGCUAAGGUAUAAAAGAAAAAGUCAUAAAUCAUGCCACUCUGACCUGCUCUCACAAAGUCCUUGAAGCUCCAUUUCUGGGGUUUUUCAAGGAUUGUAUUGUCUUAUCCCACUAAACUUUGUCUUGGCAGGGAGAAUCUGCUCAUAGAUGGAUUGGUACUCUUCCUAUUAAAUUUUUUGGCAAUUCUCACGCCAAGAUUGGAGAAUUGGAUCAAUAUUGAACAGCUUGUUGCCUUUAUUCUAUUAUCAUUUGCAUGAAGAAACUGUCUUGACUUUCUGUUUCUGUUUAAUGCCAUCACCUCAACAAUAUGAGAGUAUCUUGUCUUACCUGCCCUGAAAUUAUCGUAUUUUGGCUUUUUUACUAUGCCCAUCUUCAACUGGAUCCCUAUAAGCUGCUCAAUUCCAUUUUUGUGGGUCAGUUUAUUUGCUCUCCCAGCUGAUUGGUCGUGGAAUCAAGGUUGUAUCUAACUUUGCAUUUUGUCUCCAUCACUUAUGAACUUAAAUUGAAAAAUAAAGUUUUUAAAUCAAGGAACAGUCCAACAAUGCAAAAAUCGUUAUUGGGUUUCAGUAAAUUCGUCAAGAAGACAUGGUAACACGACUGUAAACAUACUUAGGCCCAUUUGACAAAUUCGACCUUGAAUGACCAUAGUUGCCAAGUGGCAACCAAAUUGUUAGAAGCAAAUAAAUGUAAGAACCAGCCUUUUAACAAAUAAAUGUUGUCUUUCACAUCAACAUAUAAUCUUUGAGAAUAGACUAUCCAGUGAUAAGCAAUAUAUUUGCGAAACUUUUAGCGAUAAAAUUUCCAAAUGAUGCAAGCCACUGAAAACUGUUAAAACCACCACUUCUCCCUGCAAACAACAAAACAAACCAUUCAAAACAUUCAAUACAAAAAAAAAGAUAUCUAUAGCAACAUCAGAAAGAGAUUUGGUAAGUUAAAUCACAGACUACCUAUACAGAACAACCAAUGAAUAUUUAGUUGCCAUAUGGCAACUGUGGACAGUAAAGGGUACUGGUGAGAUUAGAAAAUUUGCACCGCCUCCUCAGGGACCGUGGACAGUCACAGAAAAACUGCCAAAUGGAGUUAACUUUGAAAUCAUUAACGAAAAAAAAUUAAAUCAUCAAAACAAUAGUUAAAGAACAUUCAUUCGAUAUUUCAUAGGAAAGUUAUUUAGCAGACAGCCAAAGUAACGCUAGUGACCAAAGCUAUGACUAUAGCCCUGAUACUGACGACAAUAACCAAAACAGAGAACAUCAAGUCAAGCAUAGUCAAUACCCGUUUAGAAACAGGAGAGCAGCCAUUUAUAUAUAGGAGGGAUAAAAUGUAGGGUUAUACCCCUGUGACUGGACAUACUUUUCUUCAAAUGCCACAAGUCAAAAUAAUGUUCUAUUCCAUCCUCUCUUCCCCACAUAUGUUUGGCUAUUUAAGUGUGACGGUCGAAAACAAAAACACCAAUAUUGAACAAACUUCAUACUCCAUCAAGGGGCUGCUUCCAACUUCAUUUCUCUGCUAAUAAAUAAAAUUCCUUGAUUUCCUGCAAAUGAGUAUAUCUUUUAAGCAAGAUAAAAUCAGAUAAUAUUUAUAUAUUUCGCAAUCCAUUCAGCAACUUUUUUCUGAAUGUUUUCAUCAUCACGUCUAUCAUCAAUCAAAGUAGCUUUCAGAUUCGGUUUUGUUGUCCACAGAUGUUGCAAAAUAGUGGCUUGGAUCACACUGUACCUGUACUAGUUCAAAAUGGAUAAGCUUUUGAUUGUUACAACACAUGACUGAAUAUGCACCAUAUUUGGCACAAUGCCCCAUACUGCCAUGUUGUCAAUCUCCACAGAUCACAAGGUUCUCAUUUGAUUCCGUUAACAAAUCAAGCAUAUUUUCUUGGUACUGCUUAAUUGCAUACAGAGAAAUGGCUGGAAACAGCUUUUCCUGGAGGUGAAAAAGAUCUCUUCAUUUUCCAAGCCAAAAAAUUUAUUUAUUUCAUUUCUGAUUAUGGAAAGAUUGUGACGAGGCAAAAAAAAAUGCAUAACCCAAGCAAAGUAAAAAACACACUGCUUACCCUCUGGUGUUUGAAGAAUGUUUUCAACGAUAUGCAUGCAAGUCCCAUGUGGAAAAUAUUCGUAGCACUUUUGUGGCAGUUCCUCCAGCAAGCAAUAUUGCAAAUGACAACAACAGAUUGCCAGCCAGAAUACGAUUCCCUUCCAUUUGUGGUUGGCUUCUCCAUACAUUCUCCCUCUUUCGACAUUUGGGAUUUGCACAAAGGAUUCGAACCUCUGCCAUUGUUCCUAUCUUUUUGUCUCAAGCAAUAGAUUGUCCUCUUUGCAGACAGGACAAAACUGAAGCAACAGAAGUAGUUGAGAUAUAAAUACAAUGAAUCCGGGCGCUUUCCUUGUAUCAGUCUAUUCCGGGUAUAUGCUAAAAUAAUGAAAAGAAUAAAGAGUUUAUGAUUUUGUAUAUUUGGAGAAGUCUAUGAUUUUGUUCAUAAAAGAUGGUCUUAUAUGGAGGGUUUAGUUUAGCAGCUAAAAAAAUUAAAUCUGUAUUUACCGUUCUGGUUCAUCUUCCUCUGAUUCUCCAUCAGAGACUUCUUUAUCCUCUACAAAGCUUUUAUCGGUGUCAUCAUCUUCUUCAAAACUCUCAUUUUCAUCUGAGACACUUUCAGCAAUCUCAUCUACCUUCCUUGUUUCUAUCUCAUCCAGAUAUCUUUGUCAAAUACAUUUUGGGUGGUUUUCUUUGUCGCUUUCUGCCGCAUUUUUCUUGUUUUCCAUUGCAAAAUCCUCAACCUUCUUCUGUUCGACUUCAGUUGAUUUUGCAACCUCCUAUUUUGUUCAUUGAGAGUGUUACAGGAAAUACAAUCCAAUUGGCUUGGCACACUGCAUCUUGAAACUGAUAAAAGACAACAAGUGUGUUUUAAAACUUCUCUAAUUUGUAAAAUGUGGCAGAGAUAAAUGUUUGUAAAUUUAUUUUAUUCAUUUCAGUUUAUUUUAAAAUUCCAAUACCAAACCUUAUUCAAUAUGCAACAAGUGACUAAGACUAUAUAACAAGAAUACAAAAGUUGGAAAACAAAAUAUUGCUAUAAAUGAAUAUAGAUAAUUGAUAUUUGUAUUGCGGGAGUUUCUUAAGGAGGGGCUCUCACAAUAGGUAAACUAAACAUAUAUUCAAACCAGUUAAAUCCUAAAACAUACCAGCUCUGUGUGGUACUGUAUAGACUUAUCUAAGUCAGAUAAUUCCUCUGCAGCAAAUUCAAUGUCUGCAUUUGCAAUUUCUGAAACACCAGUUUCUUGAGCAGCUUGCAUUGAUUCUUGUACAGCUUUUAUAGUCUACAAUAUAAAUUAUUGCUUUGACAUCAUUAUGCGAUAGUGAAACCUUAAAAUAAUCCUUGGCUUUACCUAGAUACUAGUUUUAACUUCUGCUACCCUUAACCCUCCAUUCCCAAUCCAGAUCGAAAGGUAUGUAUCAUUUGGAUCAUAAAAGUGAUAAAUAUACAAGUCAAUAUAGCACUGAAAAGACCAUCGCUAGUACUGAAUAAUUGUAUGUUUCCCUUCGAUUGCACCAAUGCAAUUCGGGAAAUUCCAUCUCUCUUCGAACUCUCAGCUAAUUUUUUUCCAGUCUCCUGAUGGCUGGAGUACUUUAAGAAAUCCCUCUUUCUGCAACACCAUCCAUAACACACUACAAUUCUACCAACCGUGGUUCCGCUCAUACUAUAGCUGGCAGCGAUAGUAUUGAAUGCAUCACCUGUUACAAGGAAACGCAAUGUAACACAUAAACGUUCAGGAGGCUGAAUUGGUUCCUUUCUCAUAGAUUCCUGAAUCAAAUGAGGAGCAACAUAUUUUAAUAAUUCUUUGAAUCUUGUAGCUGACAUUCGAAACAUCUGAAAAAAUAAUUCGAGACCCUACACUUGUGUUUGUCGAAUAAGCUAAUGGUAUUCACCUUUAACUUUUCGUUGCCUGUAAAUUUCUCUGACCCAACCAUCUCUUUCUGGGUUGUUUCGAGUAGAAAUGGCGUUCUACUUCUUCAGGUUCCAUCAGUCUUUGUCUCAUGAAAAGAAGUAACAAUAACUUUCUUCGCCGAUUUCCAGCUGCCAUGUUUGUUUGUAACUUUUCGCGGGUUUUCAAAGCUGUUCUUGUGUUUCUGGCGGUCAUGCUAUCUCCAGUUGCACGUACGAUUGUGGAAUUUGACAAAAUCUGACCGUGUAAGAGCAGCUUAAAAUGGAUUUGUCUUUUCCAUUUAGUAGGAAAAAAUGCAAGUGGUGUUUUCAAUAGAUAUAAUUAAAAUUUAUCAUACGAUUACCUAAAAAUGGGGGUUUAUCUACACAUAACUAUUAGUUGGCACCUGCAACAGAAGUACGCUGCUUUGAAAUAAGACAAAAAUUUAAUAAUGAAGUUUGUGAAAGUUACACAUCGGGUCACACAAAGGUAUGUUUACAGAUAGAUGUAUCAAUAAAUUAUUUUGUAAAUUUGUACAUUAGUUUAGCAAUAUUUUGUAAAACACAUUUUAUUUGCUUCUUGGUCUUCUUGACAACUUAAAGAUUCCUCUGCUCAUAAAUGAGUUCAUUUUAUGCACAUAUGAUGUAGUCUAGAAUGUGGUUAACAAAUAAAUGUAAUAUAAACAAAUAAAAAUAACAAAUAAAAACUCAUUUUCGCUCUAAUUAAUCGCCCUAGAGAAGAAGGGGCUGCUUUAUUGAAAUCAAGAGUAGCCCGCUGAUUUUAGAUCAACAAGGAUAUGGAGUUCCUUUUCACUGAUGAUCAAAACCGCAAAAUUCAACGCAUCAGUCAACUUAUGUUACGUUGUCUACUCUGUUAUAUUCUGUUAAUUUUCCUUCAACUAUAAGCAUUUCUAAACAAAAAAUUAGUUAUAGUUUAUAUGAAUCAAUUAUUCUUCUUUUUAGGGCAGAUAGGACUACCCUGCACUUCCGAGUCAUGGGCAAACGGCAGGAGAAAACCAGGGAGAAUAAAAGCAAAACGCGGGCAAGGUGACUAAUACUACAUGAUACUACACGGAUUUUGCCUUGUCAAUGAAACCCUUUUCACUUCUUGACAAAGUAUAUUUUUGAUUUUAGAUGGACACUGACAACUUUGGGGCUCAACAUGCUUUAUAUCAAGAGCACUGUAUACUUAAGGGCUUAACAAGCCCCUGGGUCCCAGCGCUUUCAUAGUCCCUGUCAUUAUCCUGUGCUGUUUUCAUGUUAAUCAUAAUUCUUUGAUGGAAAUAGAGAAAUAUUUUUCAUGAUAGUUUUAUUUAAUUGUUUAUUCGUCAAUCAUUGCAGUCAACUAACUGUUUCUAUACAUUUUUCAGCACUGAUCACAGAGCCUGGAUCAAGGCUCCCAGAACCCAGAUCGGAACUGAUGCGGAAAAAAAUGUUUAGAUAAAAAAUAAUAGAGGAGGGAUAAUAAAGAAUGUUUUUAUUUUUAAUAGUUGAUGAAAAAAAAUUAUAAGCCAAAAACGUGUUUCUUUUUAUGUCUUGGGUCUCUUCUCUAUCAUUACUCAGGGCCAAGAAGGCGAUAAUGUAAGUCACUGUUACUAUAAGUCACUUCCAAACAUUUUCAGAACCAAUUCCAAACAAUCCAAAUAUCAUAAAAACUUGUAUGAAAAAAUCUACCAAUGUGUAUUAAGCCUUCGAUAAAUAUGAAGCAUUUAUUUCAGUAACAGUUCAGCUUCAAGGGGGUAAGAAUGCUGUCUAACUGUGGUACGAUGUUUGACUUGUAUAAGGUGAGAAUAUCCAGUGAGAAUUGAAAUUCUGUCAGACAUGCUGUGUGAGUUUUCCUGGAUACAGUUUUGUGAGAUUCAACAAACUAUGGCAAAAAAUGAAAAACAUCUUCAUCCCCUGGUUAAUCUAAUACCCAGAUUGUGCGGUACUUUAUAACACAACACGGUUUCCGUGCAUGCCAUUGAUUUGUAUACAUUGAACGAAGAAUCACAGGAAGCUCUUUCAAUUGCUUGCUUAUAUAGAUAUAUUGAUAUAUCCAAAAGUAACACCCUCAGAUCAAACAAUCCGUUUACAAGUUGAAAAAAGCACCAGAAAUUGCGAAGUUAAAAGUCGAAUAAGAAAGAAGGUACUUUAUCAUUUGCUUUCUUCUUAAUCUUUAAAUUGUUUGAGAGAAACCGUGUAAUUGAAGUUUGCUGGGGGGAAGGGGGGUUUGUGUAGAGUAAUGCGAUGGUACUGUGCAGAAAUACACCUUCAUUUAACAUCAAGGUUUAGAAUUACAUCUUCAUUUAACAUUAGGGUAAAUUUAUACGAUCAAAAUCUUGCAAACAAAUAGCUCAGAAACUUUUCAAUUAUAAUGCACCCUUUUAUAACAAAACAAGGUUCACCCUUUGUACACCAGUUUCAUAAUUCUGUGGCAAAUCAUUUUGAAAUUUGUUGUUUGUUCAUUCUGCAAAAGAUUGGGGACUUUUGAAGUUGCUUCCGAUUUUCAAGAAUUUUUCUUUGCAUCUUCAGUUUUAUGCCAACCAGCUGAUAGCAUUGAUAUAAAAUGCAAUAAUAACAGAGCUCCAGUUUCAAAAUUUGAUGAUUUGCUCAUGUUUUUCCACUCACUAUUGAAGUUUCUUAAGUUUUCCUGAAUGUCCAGUGGAGAACUCAUUUCUUAUUGCUAAUUUCUUAUAGAAAAGGAUUUGCUAAUUGAUUUGACUUACUUUACUAAAGCUUGAUUUUUUCUGUUCAUUUGUUCUCUCAUCUAGAAUAUUAUGGAUCCUUCAUUAAUGGAGAGAUUAGAGUCAUUGAAAAUGGACCGAACAAACGAGAUGCUGGUCUAGAGGCUCUAUAUAAUAGAGGCAGGUAUUGCGUCAAUAUUGCAAGAUGCAACAAUGAACAAUAGCUUGCAGGACGAAUCUAUAGACAAUCAUAUUUUAGAAUUAGAUGUUAAUUUAUCUCAAAACAGGAACUAACAAUCGCAAAAGAUUUCUUUUUUGUGUUUUAUCUCUACCUAUCAAAGACAUUACACAUAAAGACAUUCUACUUUUAGUCAGUUGCUAAACCUCUUCAACAAAAGGAUUGCAAGGUUAAAGUUUGCCGCAUGGACAUUACAUCGAGUAUUACUGAAUAGUAAUGGGAGAAUGUUGAA